RNAcentral lists this transfer RNA (73 nucleotides) under Actinokineospora alba. RNAcentral's name for it is "Alloactinosynnema alba tRNA". It matches the Rfam family "tRNA". Rfam says of the family: Transfer RNA (tRNA) molecules are approximately 80 nucleotides in length. Their secondary structure includes four short double-helical elements and three loops (D, anti-codon, and T loops). Further hydrogen bonds mediate the characteristic L-shaped molecular structure. tRNAs have two regions of fundamental functional importance: the anti-codon, which is responsible for specific mRNA codon recognition, and the 3' end, to which the tRNAs corresponding amino acid is attached (by aminoacyl-tRNA synthetases). tRNAs cope with the degeneracy of the genetic code in two manners: having more than one tRNA (with a specific anti-codon) for a particular amino acid; and 'wobble' base-pairing, i.e. permitting non-standard base-pairing at the 3rd anti-codon position. The record is from Rfam by way of RNAcentral. Lineage: Bacteria; Bacillati; Actinomycetota; Actinomycetes; Pseudonocardiales; Pseudonocardiaceae. RNAcentral also lists the same sequence under 4 other names.
GCGUCGCUAGCUCAACUGGCAGAGCAGCUGGCUCUUAACCAGCGGGUUCGGGGUUCGAGUCCCUGGCGGCGCA